GUUUAAGAAGUCUACAGGAGUGUACAAUAAUAUCCUAGGCCUUCACAUUCACUCACCACUCACUCACUGACUCAUCAAGAACAACUUCCAGUCCUGCCAGCUCUAUUCAUGGUAAGUUCCCUACACAGGAAAUUGCCUGAAGACACAUUUCUCAGAAUGUACACCCAUCUUUAAGUGAUGCAUGAUCAUAUAUAAAGCAUUUAGAAGGUUCCGGACAUCUACCUGGACGAGCACCCUGAUAAACCCAAUUGCUGAGUGACAUCCGAGAAGCUGAGUUAAAUUCAAUGUUGAUUUGCUUUGCCUAGAAGAAUGGGACUGAGAUGGGAAUGAGCCAUAUCAGAUACAAUGGUAAGGUCAUAAGACCCCUGUUCCAGAGAAGUCUCUACCGAUACCCAGAAGGAAGAAAUGCAUGCUCAGAGAGGCCAGGAAGGAUCCAGAUAGAAGCUGUGUAGAAAUAUAAUUGGAC
RNAcentral lists this long non-coding RNA (466 nucleotides) under Homo sapiens (human). RNAcentral describes it as "HSALNT0017600". Lineage: Eukaryota; Metazoa; Chordata; Mammalia; Primates; Hominidae. The record is from RNAcentral.